GCAGCCCGGGGCUUUGGUGCAGCGCCGUGCGCGCUGGUUUGUCUCCGCGUUUCCUGACACGGGCGCUCACGGGUGGACGUGGACUCGCCUCCUCGGGGACUUUGGGCGCGCAAGGAGCCUUCUGGAGCCGCGGGGGACCCGUCCCCAGUGUGCGCCCAGUUUGAAAUAAUUUCAAACCUACAAGACAGCUGCAAAAAUAAUGCAAACUCUGAGCAGAGAAGCCCAGCACCCCCGUCCCCUCGAGAACUGAAGCUCUGCGAGGCCAGGCCCUGCUGUCUGGUUCAUCCGCGAUGUCUGCCCAGCCCGGGCCCAGCGUCUGGCAUCUGGUGGCCGCCUGUGAGCUGCGCGUUGAGCGGGUAAGAGCCGGACAGCACGGGCGUCCACUGGGCCCUGCCCGCCCUGGGAGGGGAGCGCAGCCCCCGGGGCCUCUCUGCCCGCUGGUUCCGGCGCCGCCUGGUGACACCUGGUGCAUCUGCCCGGGGACCCGCCCCACGUCCCACCUGAGGGAGGCCCCGUCCCCUGGCGUGUGUGGGACAGGGUCUGCUUGUUCCCAAUCCAGUGGCCCCGCCUUGAGUUAGGGCGAGGGUUAGGGGAGGUAGAGGUGGAGGGUUCAUUUGCGAGGGAGACAGGGUGACAGUCGAGGCUACUGCGAGGAUGAUGAUGAUGCAUCACAAAACCUUCUUGUGUCCACAUCGAUGGAAACCGCAGGAGUCCGACUUGGAGCAGGAGAUCUGGGGUCCCCCAGGCCCGCAGGUCUGGUCUGGAUCCUGUAGUGCUUCUUGGUGUGGGAACAUCCUGAGGAUUUCUCAAGUCCCCUCAGGUACCAGCCCGCCCGGGAGGCUCAGGGAAGAUGCCCCGUGUUGCUCGGGGGGAAUCCCGGGGACCGCUCAGAGGAUGAGCCUCUGGAUAGUUUUCAAAAUCCCACUCCGUGGCCUGGACUAGACACUGCUAACGGGAGAGGCUGGGGAGGCCUUUCCUGGCCCCGCCUCUGAAACCUGCGGAGGACCCUCAGAUCCCGCACCCCAGCACCUGCAGGGAGGCCUUGGUGCGGUGCCUCCUGAUCAGCAGACGGCCCUGCCGGGAUCCCGUGGUCUCAGGGCCCUUCUGAAAGUAUUUUCACAGGCUCCUUCAGCUCCUGGGGUCUCCAUGAACCUGCUUUGAACAUGGAAGGGGCCGGGUGGACCUGAACUGAGCAGGUAGGUGGGUUGUCAGGGCGGAGAUAGUGCUUGGAGGCACCUUCCUCAGGCCUCGGGCCCAGCGGCCCCAUCAGCACCUGGACCGGGAGGUCGGCGCUCGCGAGGCUCUCCGGCGGGGGAAGAACCUUCCACCCACCUGAGUGGGUACAUGCAGAGCAGGGGGUCCUGCAGCACCUGGGCGAGACCUGCCUGGAAUCCAUAUACCGCCUCAGAGGCAGCGCCCCGUCUUCACCUGCCCAGGCCUGGACUCCUGCAGGGUUGAGCAUCCGCACCCCACUCCCAGGGCCAGGCCUGCACCUGUGCAUAAGCGCAGGGAGCCCCUUGCGCCAGGAGCCGGCCGCGUGGGCCAAUGAGGAGCCCAGGUGUCCUGCCUCGGGGGGGGGGCUGCUGGAAGCCAGUGAUUAGUGUCUGUUGGUGCUUUGAGGGAGGGGCGGCUGCCAAGAACAGUGAGCUCCAGGUGGGGUGAGGCUGCAGGGCCGCCAGGUAGGUGGGGCCGGGGGCGAGGGGAAGCCGCCCCCGUGCUGCUCUCUGCCCUGACUGCGGGAGGGAUGGAGGAGGAGGACGGAGCUGCCGCCACGUCACCUGCCACCACUUCACCUGCCACACCUGUCACCUGCCACACCUGUCCUGAUGCACGGCGCCAGCCUCUAGGGGAAGCUCAGCUGUGGCCGGGACCUCCUGCGCGAGCUCCGCCUUCAUGGCCAGAGCAGAGCGAUCCUGUUCAGACCUAAGUGAGCUCCUGGGCCUUUGCACACGGUAGACCGUCGGGUUCACGCUUGCACUGGACGCCAAGGACCCGUUGUCCUUCUUUAUUUAAACGUUACAGUAUUUACAGUUCCAGCCCCCCCCCCCCAUCCUGCUUCCCUGUUCACUUUUUCCCGUAGGACUCAUUACCUUCCAAUAAACUAUAUUAUUUACUUA
Molecule: RNA transcript, 2117 nt
Organism: Choloepus didactylus (southern two-toed sloth)
Lineage: Eukaryota; Metazoa; Chordata; Mammalia; Pilosa; Megalonychidae
Exons: 3
Source: RefSeq, a predicted model, not a curated record